UCGGACCGGGAGGGCCUCGCGGCCUAUCAGCUUGUUGGUGAGGUAACGGCUCACCAAGGCAUCGACGGGUAGCUGGUCUGAGAGGAUGAUCAGCCACACUGGGACUGAGACACGGCCCAG
Molecule: ribosomal RNA, 120 nt
Filed under: uncultured bacterium
Lineage: Bacteria
Description: partial 16S ribosomal RNA
Rfam family: Bacterial small subunit ribosomal RNA
Source: RNAcentral